RNAcentral lists this long non-coding RNA (39249 nucleotides) under Gossypium barbadense (sea-island cotton). Its description in RNAcentral is "long non-coding RNA (GBAR_LNC012156)". The stretch from base 9985 to 10106 matches the Rfam family "MIR7504 microRNA precursor family". The record is from RNAcentral. Lineage: Eukaryota; Viridiplantae; Streptophyta; Magnoliopsida; Malvales; Malvaceae.
GUGGGCUGGAGGCCGAAGGUGAUAGUGCUGGAGACUUAGCUUUGGUCUUGCUAGGGGCCGGAGCUGGAACCGUGGCAGGAGGAGAAGCCAAAGGAGCUGGUGGUGGGGUAGCUGGAGGAGGAGUAGCAGGAGGGGGAGAAGCAGGUGGUGGGGUAGCCGGAGGUGGAGAAGCCGGUGGGGGAGUUGCGGGAGGUGGAGUAGCCGGGGGAGGAGAAGCUGGUGGUGGGGAGCUAACGGGCGGGGGAGUCGCUGGAGGAGGAGUGGAAACUGGUGGUGGUGAUGAAGUAGGAGGAGGAGAGGAAGCUGGUGGCGGAGAAGUAGUUGUGGGUGUUGGAGGUGGUUGAGUAGUAGGUGGAGGUGUGGAAGCGGGUGGAGUCGGCGGCGCCGGCGUGGAUGUCGGAGGAUUACUAGGAGUAGGAGGAGCUUGGCCUAAAACGCCAGCUACAGCAAUGCAAAACAAAGCUGAUAAGAACAAAAACUUAUUAUUAAGCAUCAUAUUGGAAACAAUGGUGACCCUUUAAUCCUGCACACCCUCUCCGCUUAAACUACGCCCAGCCGUGCAAGCAAAUGAGGGAGAAGAAGAGGCAAGUAUGAGAAAUGAAAAGAUGGUGAUAUUUAUAUAUAGGAUAUGGAAAUUUCCAUAUCAUAUUUCAAUUUAAAAUCCCCAAAACAAAUACCAGCAUUUUUAUUUUAUUACUAAUGGGAAAAUUGCAUUACUAAUCAUAUACAAUAUUCUAUAUUAAUUUAGUGUAAUUUAAUUCUUUCAUUUUUUUAUAAUGUUAUUAAUAGGUCCAAAAUCAAUAUCUCCGAUCGUUAGUUGCUGUCAUUAAAGUGAUGAUACGAAAUUAUUUUUUUUACUAUUAUUCCAUCAUACAAUCAGAGAUAUAGAAAUCAAUCAAUUUUGUUAAACAAAUAAUAAAUUUCAAUCUGAGUCAAAUGCUUAAAGUUGUUAAAAAAAAUUCACGUCAUCACUUUAACAACAUCAACUAAUAGCGUUAUCAAUUUGUACUUUGUAGCUACCAAUAACAUUAUAAAAAUAAAGGGUCAAAUUAUAUAGAAGUAAAGGAUUAAAUCUCUAAUUUCAAUUUAGUAAAGGGACUAAAAUGGAAUUAAACCUAUUAGUGGGGGUCGGAGUUUUUUCCUCGUUUGGUGAGGUAAAAAAAAAAAAAAACCCUAGUGGGGCAUAGUUAUAAUGUCACUUUGAUGAUUAUAAAUGAUGCGUUAGUUAGUCAUACUUUAGGUAAAAAACUGUGAGGUGGGAUUAGUGUAGAUUGAAAAUUUUUAGUGAAGGGGUUAAUUUAUACCUUCAAAAUUUUGCAAUAUUUGGUAGUUCCAUGAAAUAUUCCCCGCUAUUUAUCAACUUUUCAAUCACUCAAAUAGGUUUUAAUUUAGUUUUGUUGUGAAAUUUCUAAUUCAAGCAUACAAUGAGUAGAUUUUAUUAUGGGUCGGGUCGGGUUAUUAUAAAAUUUUAGGUGUAACGUCCCGAAUUUUUGGGCCUAGAAGUUAAAAGAUUUAAGCAUAGGGGCAGUAAGGAGGCCACACAUAAGUGAUUAGUUGUGCACUAUAGUGAUAAGAAUGGGCUUAUUAGUCUAGUGGUUAAAUGGAGUGUUAAUUAAGUUCAAGGUUUUUGGUUUGAGUCACUAUGUGUACAUUUUGGGAGUCUUUUUAUUUUGUUUUUUUUUAGUUAGUGAUAAUAAUUAAUUAUUUUAUUUUAUUUUUAUUAUUUUUCUUUUCUUUUCCACGUUAGUUCUCUCUACUUCUUGGUUUUUUUUUCUUUUUGUUCUUUUUCCUUGGACUUUCAAUUUGUGCAUUCUCUAUGUUUUUGAAUCGUUUGCUUACAGAUUUCGAAUUGUCGCACCUCUAUCGUCUUCUUCGUCGUUCAAUCAGGUGAGGGAUUCAAACUUUAACUACAUUGUUUAAUUUUGCAAAGUUUACGUGCGGCUUUUCUUGAAUAUGUGAUAACCCGAAGGUUUUUGGGUUUUGAUCGUUGGAAGUGAGGAAAAUACGUUAUAUUGUGAUAUGUUCUUGAUGUGGUUAAGGUUAGGGACAGUUUGGGUGGCUAAAACGGUGUUUUCGGGGCUAAUUUGGGGUGGUUUCAUGACCUCUCCGGCAGCUACACGGGCGUGUGCCGUGGUAGACAGUCAUAUGGAUUUGGGAACUAGGGUUUCCAGGCCAAAUUGGAUGCCACACGGCCGUGUGGCCGAUUUGGGGAUUUUGUCGAAAUUCACACGGCUGUGUCCCCUAGGCACAUGGGCAUGUGGGUUUGGAAUUAGGGUUUCAGAGAUUUGAAGUCACACAGCCUGGCCAUACGGCUGUGUGGCUGAUUUUGGGAUUUAGGGAUCCCACACGAGUGUGUGUUUCGUAACACACAACCAUGUCUAGUUGGCACACGGGCAUGUGAGACCCUCACAUAGCCGUGUCUGCCCUGCACCUUAUUUUAGCGAAAUUGGACAGUGAGUUACACAGCCUGUUCACACAGUCGUGUCUCUGCUUCGCACGGGCGUGUGCCUAUGUCACAUGGCCGUGUGCUAUCCUUCACAAGGGCGUUUGAAGCCUCACACGAUCUGGAUUGCUCUACACGGCUGAAGCAUACGGGUGUGUAGCCCUAUCUCGCCAAAUAAUGAUUUUAGGUCAAAUUUAAGUGCAAUCGUGACUCUAUGUAUUCCAACCCUCGACUGAGCUCUAGUGAGGGUAUUUACGACGCUGAUCUGAGUUUGGAUAAUGUGUUAAUUGUGAUUGGUUAUGUGACAUGUUUGAUUCUGAACCCGGGUUAGCUGGGUGAGUGUGUAUGCAACUAGUUCUGUCUGACUGUUUGAAUACGUGUCAUUGAUAUGCGAGCUUAUUUUGCAAUUGCUACUGAAUUCAAGUUACGAGUAUACUUAAGACUAAUUUUGUAACUAACUGAUUGGAUGUGAGCGUCUACUUCUGAAUAAUUGUUUGAGACUAGUAUUCUGAUUGUGUACAUCUGACUGCAUACAUACAUACAUAUGCAUAAACUAUUUUGGGCGGGAUUUUUGAAGAGAAGGUGUUGUAGGCCAAUUUUGGGCCCGUUUACACUUUAGGCCGAACAUACAUCAAACCCAUUUACAAUUAAACCCCAGCAUAACCCACAACCCAAACCCAACAAAUAAACCCAAAACCAAACCCAAAUUUAACCCAAUUCAAAUCCCAUAGACCCAAACCCACAUGUAAGCCCAAGUUGUUAGACCCAACUAGCUUGAUUUAGGGUUUCAAAAAAACUGAAACCCUAACCUACCCCCAGCGCCGCCAACGUCACAUCGCCCAUGCCAGUCCACUUGCACUACCUUUGCUCCACUGUUCAACCACCACCUGCAAAACAAAAGAGCACGCAACAGCAGCGCAAAAAUAGGAAAUAGACAGUGUAUGAACAACAAAAUCGGCUAUAAAGCCGAAUGGAAACCAAUGUAAUAGAAAAUAUUUUCGGUUAUUUUCUUCAUCAAUACAAAAAAAUAGAUUUAAACAUAUACAAGCAAUAAUUCGGGGAAAAUCAAAACACUAGAAUAACACCAAUUGGGCAACCAAAACAUCAAUAUCAAAAGCCUAAGGUGAUUUAAAUCUUUUUAUUUUUAUUUAUUUUUGAAUCAUACAUACCUAUGUAUUUUCAUAAAUAGUAUAAUAAAAAGGAAAAUAAAAGAAUAAAAAAAAGAUAGGAAAUUUUUACCUUUUCCGGCCACCGUGCGACGGUGGCACACGGCGGUCCGGCAACCAGACGUGGACGGCGACCGGCCUUGUGGCCGGAAUUCGCCUCUCCUUCUCCCCUCUCUCUUUUUUUUCUUUGCUAUGCAGAAAAUGAAUUUUUUUUGAAGAUUUUGGCCUUUUUAUAGCUUCCUAAAACGACGUCGUUUUGGGGGUUGCCCUUUAACCUCAAAACGACGUCGUUUUGCCCUGGAUCAGGUCGACCCGACCCUACCCACUCAGGAUCUGAGUGUUUUUGCUCUUAGGGGCUAAUUGCGCACGCGGUCCUUCCGCUUUUUCUAUGUUUUUCAAUCAGGUUUUUUAUGUAUUUUAAUUUGGCCCUAUAAUUAGUUGCGCUUUCCAAUUUGGUCCUCAAUGCUAUUGCGCAUUUUGGGUGGAGAGGCUUAUUUCGUUUUAAGUCCCUCCACUAUUUGUGCGCGUUGAAAUAGGUCCCCUUCCCUUCUUUUUAUUUCAGUUUUUGCCCCAAGCCUUUUAUUUUUAAUUCGAUUCGAUCCUUUUUUUAAUUACUUUAUUAUUAAAAUUAAUUAUUUUAGUAUUAUUGUUAUUAGCACUAUUCAUGUACAUAUAUAUUAUCAUUAUUGUUACUAUUACUAUUAUUAAUCUUCAUAUUAUUACUAUUAUUUCUUUAUUUUUAUAUUAUAUUAUAUUAUAUUAUUAGUUUUUACUAUUAUUAGUAUUAGUUUUAGCUUCAAUUAAUAUUUUUAACAUGCAUAUUUAUAUACUUUUAUGUAACAUUAUUAAUAAUUAUUUUUUAAAAUAUUAUUAUUAUUUUUUAAUACAUGCAUAUAUAUUAUGUGUAUAUUCUUUUAAUAGACAUUAUGUAUAUAUAAUUUUAUAUAUUAUUUUUAACUUUACAUUAUGUAUAUAUUGUUAAUAUCAUAUUAUUCAUAUAUUCUAUUAUAUUAUAUAACUAUAUUAUGUAUGUAUUUUUAACACUAUAUUACGUACAUACUUUCAAUAUCAUUAUUAUUAUGUAUAUAUAUUUUUAAUAUAUAUAUGUGUAUAUUUAUGUAGUAUUAUUAAUAGUUGUUUUUAAUAUUAUGAUUAUUUCUAGUAUAUAUAUAUUAUGUAUAUACUUCUAAUACUAUAUAUUGUAUAUUUCUAAUACCAUUAUUAUUUAUAUGUGUAUAUGUGUAUGUAUUUAUGUAUCGUAUUAUAGUUGUUGUUUUUUUUGUAUCAUUAUUGUUGCUAAUAUAUAUAUAUCAUGUAUAUAUGAUUUUUUUUAUAUAUAUUAUGUAUAUAUCUUUAAUAUUAUAUUAUUUAUAUAUUUAUGCUUACAUAUUAUCUUACGUAUAUAUUUUUAAUAACUAUAUUAUGUAUAUACUAUUACUAUAUAUCUAUUUAUGUUGCAUUAUCAAUGGUUGUUUUUACUAUUAUUAUUAUUCUUAAUAUAUAUAUUAUGUAUACAUUUUUAAAUACUAUAUUAUAUACAUAUAUUUUUAAUACCAUAUAUGUACAUAUCAUUAUUAUAUCUAUUUUUACCCCUAUUACAUUUGUUAUUAAUAUUAGUAUAUAUUUUAUUAUACGUGUAUAUAUAUACUUUUUAAUAUAGUAUUAUUUUUAUAUAUCAUUAUAUUUAUUAUUAUACUUAUUAUUUUCGCUAUUGUUACUUAUUAUUUUAUUUUAAUAUUAUUGUGUAUUAUUUGGUAUACAUAUAUCUUUUUGUACAUAUUGUUAUUUUUUAUUAUACGUAUAUUAGUUUAUUAUGGUAUUAAUACAUUUUUACCUUUUUCUUUUAUUGUAAAUAUUAUUUAUUAUUACUCUAAUAUCCUAAUAUUAUAUUAUAAUACUUUUUAUUAAUCAUCUCAUUAUUUUGCAUCGUUUAUUUACUUAUGAAUUUUUGUUAACAUCAUCAGUUUUUUUUUAUCAUUAUUUUAGAAACAUUUUUAUUUUAAUAAAUAAUGCAACGUACCGAUUUUAACAUUAAGUUUGUGAUUUCAUCGCUAUGUUGGGUGAAUCACGUUGGCUCGUGUUAAAAACGGGACAUCCUUCAAAAAAACCAAAAACUUGAAAUUUCUCGUGUCUUGGUCGGAUCAUGAUUAAAUAUUAAAUUAAACUUGUAUUUUUGAAAAUUAAGACAACGCGUAAUUAACAAGAUACUAAUUUUGGGCGUCGUGAGGGUGCUAAUACCUUCCUCGCGUGUAACCGACUCCCGAACUCUAUUUUCCUCUGGAUUUUCACGUAGACCCAAAUUCGGCCUUCAUUUUUGUUCAAGAAUAAAUUUUCUUUUCUAAAAAGAAGAUUUAUUAGGUGUCUGAUCACACCUAGAAAAAAGAUCGGUGGCGACUCCUUUUCUUUUUAAAACCGAAAUUCCAUUUUCAAAUAAUCGCCUCAACUAGCGACCGGAAAGUGAAAUUUUUACGUUGCUACAGAAGGAAGAUUGACUGAACUGAACUGAUAGCUAAUAUGUUGCCCCUAAUACCCAGAGGGUCAUGGGCGGUCCCAAUACCCUGAGGAUCGUGGUUAAUUUGACUGUACUGCGGACUAUCGCACUGUACUGUACAGAACAUACAUCAGCACCGCUGCUAUCAUUGACUAAACUGGCAAUUUUACUGCAACCUAACGAUAUAGCGGUCUACCGCAUUGCAUUGUACCGCAUGUACGUUAGCUACGCUACGUACUAUUAUCUGAUCUGGCAGUUCAUACUGCAUGUCUGUACCGCGGUUCACCGCAUUGCACAGUACAACCUAUACGCUGGCUUUCCUACGUAAUUUACGUGACUAGCAGUUUAUCUGCAUACUGUUAGCCCAAAUUCCCAGAGGGUCGAUGGCAAUCCCAAUACCCUGAGGGUCAUGGACAAUGCUGAUGAUCAUCGUUGUCGGGUAACCCGGGAUGACAUCAUAUGGGGUGUAGGGUUGGAUGGGCUUUGCGAGGUCCUGUAUGGAGUGUUUGGUGGGACAAGCUUAAAGCUUUUAUGAGAAGUGAUGGGGGACGGAGAGGUGUGUUGGCUGGAUAGGUGGAUAUUUUUAGAACUCAUUUGUACUCAUAUGUAUCUGAUUGAUCUGUUUAACUGAAUUGGAACUUGUGAAUGGUUGAGAAUUAUUGCUACUGUGACUGAAUGUGAUACUGUUCGAUUGAGAGGCACUUGUGCCUAUGUGAAUUUUGUAGAUUCUGAUUGCGACUGUCUGACUGGAUUCUUACUGUGACUGAUUAAGAUUUGUUGCUACUCUGUCUGAGUGGUACUUGUGGCUGAGUGUAUCUAACUGAUUGAGUUAAAACUAGUGGCAGAAUAGCACUAUGUUUGUGUAGCUGAGUGUAAUUUUUAAUAUGCAUUAACAAAUAUCUGUCUGUCGGUACGUCCGUUUCGAACGUACCCUUUGGUUCUGAAUAGCUCUGUAAGUAUGUUUUAUUUCUGAACUGCUUUUAGUUCCCUGUUUCUGUCUCUGUAGUUUAACUGGUUUGAUCUCAAACUGAGCUCGAGUAGCUCACCCCCUCUUUCGUUUCCCUUUUCAGGUACAAUUCUGGAUUAUGUUGAUGGACUUGGCACGCGAAGGUCUCAGACAGUCUCGCAAACAAAUAAAUUAUCAGUUUUGUUUUCCGUUACGAUUUUGUUAUUUGGUUAACUUUGAACUGUAAGGCUUUAUAAUACUGUGGUACAGUUUCCAUUUUAGAUUUUCAUGCAUACGUUUAUUUUGGGUUUUAUAUUGAGUCUUACUGUAAAUUUUAUUGACUGAUUAUUAAAUGGUUUUAAACACUUUUGGUUCACUGAGAUGAGUUAUUUUGUAAAAUUUUCCUACGAUCACUUCGGUGAUCAAUGUAGCAUUCCGAAUUCGGUCUAGACUUUUAGGCCGAGUUUGAGGUGUUACAUUAGGUUUAUUUUUUAGGUUCUAAUUUGACUCGAAAAAUAGGUCUAAAAUUUUAACUAAACCCAGUUUAGAUAAAAAUAUUAAACCCAAGUCCAAACGUAUUAAACUUUUUAUAUUAUUAUUUAUAAAAAAACAAAUUUAAAAAAUAUAAUACAUCAAAUACACUAAAAAUAUUAAAAUAGAUGUUUCCUAAUAAAUUGAAAAUACAUUAAAAAAGUUUUUAUACUUAACAAGCAAAUGCCUUUAAAAUAGUAGCAAAAUUAACAAGCCCAUGAUUAGGUCUAAUGAUGAGUUCUUUUGUUAGUAAUGUUUAUUUUGGUAUUUGAGUUUUUUCUGUCUUAAUUUGGUACUUAAUUUUGACUUUAAUUUUUUUCCAAUUAAGCACUUAAGUUUGGCUUCAAUGUUCAAUUUGGUACCUAAUUUUUUUUGUCCAAAUUAAUUACCUAUAUAUUUUUUACCAAAGCAUGUGUGUCAAACAUUUAUUGGAUCAUAUGAUGACAUUUGGCUUAGGUAUCAAAUUGAAUAUCAAAUUCAAACCUAAGUACUAAAUUGAAACAAAAAACACAAAUACUAACUUAAGUAUUAAAGCUAAACUCAAGUAUCAAAUUGUAUAUUAAUCAUUGGUAAACAAAAUUUCAAGGAUUAGCAUCUACUAAGCUUUCAUUUUCCCUUUUGCAUGUUACAAUUGAUAUUUGUUUAACGCAUAAACUUGGUAUCUUUUUUCCCGUAAUGAUCCAUUUUCAACAAUUUUUGUACACCUAUAUUAAAAUCUGAAAUAAUUUGGUUAUCUUCAACAUACAUAAAGCUGUUAUAUUAAAGUUUAUUUAUAGUUGAGAUUUUUAAAGGAUUUUUAUAAGAUAUUUUUUACACAUUCUUUCCAUGACAUUAAGGAGUAGGGAAGAAAACGUGGUAGUGUUAAAAGGAUCAGUUCAUCUAAACAAGCGGAAAGUCAAAAUAAGAAACAAAUUAAGGAGGAGUAGGGGACUCACACAUCCAUAACAUAUGCAUAUGUUAAUAUUAAAAAUUUACACAACGCAAUUGUAAAUGGUGAGACUUGGACUUCGAUACUUAAAGACCCAAGAUAUCGCCUUAACCAAUAAUGUCAACAAGAUCUCAUUAACUUUUUAGGAAUUUUCUUAACUUCACAUAUAGGGAUUAAAAAAUUACGAUAUAACUCAAUAUAAUAUUAAAGAGUAAAAGUUAAUCAAAAUUUACAUAUAUCACUCAUUUAAUCAUAUGUGUACAGAUAAAAGGAAGCCACUCAUCCUCUUGCCAACCCUACGUGUAACAUAAUUCACUAUAAAUUCCACCUACAUAUACAUACAUACAUAAAUAUAAAAGAGAAUUUCAUGGUCUUGGACUAGAUUGGCUACAAAAUUUGACAAACGGCAUGUGUAGGAGGAUUAAAUUCGAUGAAUUGCAUGAGAGUUUCUCCUUUUUGAUAAUUUAGUACAUGAGAGAAUAAUGAUGAUUGUGGGGGGGGGGGGGUGCUCCAUCGAAAUAGCUGGAAUUUAUUUAUUUUAGUGAACUGGCAAAUGUAAUUUGUACGCCAAGUUAUAAGGUGAAAAAGGGAGAAAUCAUAUAGAUUUGGUUGGUAAUGGUAUGUUGAUGUUGGAACACCUGCGGUGCACCGCCACAAUUAGUAGGCCCCUAGCCCCGCUGUCACCCCAUCAUAUGUGCUUUUGGAUGGAUCCAACAUUUUCGUGUUCUUUCAUUCUUCAACAUCAUCAUUAUUAAUUAGUUACUCUUCAAUUUCUAUAUGUAAUUUGCUUUCUUUUCAUUCAUAGGUUUUCUGUUUUCUGUCUUUGAUUUUGUCUUGUGCACAACUGAUGUCCUCCAUUUUUUUCCCCUUUUGUAGAAUUGGGUUUGUCACUUUAAUAGUGCCCGAAAUUAUUUUAUGGAUUUUUUUCAUCAUAUCAUUUAUAAUCUAUUUUUAGUUAUUUAAUGAUAUUUUAGUAAUUUUUUUAUGUUAUUGACACAUAAUUUUACUAAUUUUUUUACCCAGAACCCUCAAUCUUGAGUUUAGAAUCUUGAACCCCGAACCUUGAACCCUAAACUCAAACAUUAAACUCCAAACCUAAACCUUAAAUCUUGAAACCCUCAAGGUUUAGGUUUGAGGUUUAAGUUCAAAUUCAAGUUUGUAGUUCAGGGUUCGAGGUUUGAAAUUUAAGGUUCGGGUUCAGGGUCAGAGUUCAACAUUCAGGAUUCUAGGUUUGGGGUUUAAGAUAAAAAAAAAUUACCAAAAUUAUAUGUCAAUGACAUGAAAAAAAAAUUACUGAAAUGUCAUUAAAUAAUUAGAAAGGGACCAUGGAUGAUGUGGUGGGAAUGGUCCAAAAAUAAUUUCUCAUUUGUAUGGGAUAUUAUUCAUUAUCUAUUAUAAUUUGAUAUCUCUAUUUUUAUAAUAUUAUUAGGGGAAAGGAUUGUAUGAAACAGUGACGCCAUGUCAUCUGUAUCCCUUUCCAAUAAUUUUAUGCCAUAUCAUUACUUUUAUCCUCAAUUUCAGGAUUUUAUCCUGAAAAAAAUCAAAUCCAAAUUAAAAUCCUGAAAUUCAGGAUAAGAAUAUUGAUGUGGCAUAAAACUAUUGGAAAGGGAUACAGAUGACGUGGCGUCACUGUUUCAUACAAUCCUUUCUCUGUCCAAAUUUAUAACAAUGUUGAUUGCUUCACUAAAAUGAGAAGGUCCAAAAGAGUUAGAAGAUGUUAUUGAGAUUAAUAAAGGAGUAAUUUAUUUCGAGAUAGAUUAAUAUAAUUUAUUUGUGUUUUUUAUUUAAAAAAAAAAGUAAAAGGACGUAGUAAAGGAAUUUUCAUGCAUCAAUAAUUUAUUAUUUAAACUAUGAAAUUUCAAAAAAGAAGAAAUUCAUGUUGAAAUUGAUACUAUCAAGCAAUUUAAAAGUGUAAAAAUUUCAGUAUCAGCUGGAUAUUUAAUGUCAAAUAAACUAAAGAAAUGAGAAACACAAGCCAAUUGUCCACAAUGAUUAACUUGUUCCUAAAAAGAAAGUUGUACAUAGACUUUGCUUAUAAAUCAAUCCAAUUUUUUUUUAUAUAAAAGGAAACAUAUUACAUACUUAUAUUGAGUUAUUUGUACCACAACCCACUUAAAUUAUGAUUUUAAUUUUCGAUUGAGUCUUAGUUCAAUUGAUAUUGGCAUUAUUAUCUGUGGAGGAGUGGAUUCAAGUGCGCUGAAACGCAUUAUCCUUCUAUUUAAAUGUUGGGAAGGAACUAUAGAUUCGAAAGCAGAUAUGAUAAGAACCUAUAAUAAAAUUAAUGUAAUGCCUCCUUUUUCCUUUAAAUCCUACUUAAAACACACUUACUUAUUAUUUGCUAAAAUAUUGACAAAUCUAUAAUUUGAAUUCGAACAUUUAUAAUUCAAUCUUGGUCCCUUUAAUACAAAAAAUGUUGGCUUCACCCUUGAUCAAUUUAGUCAUCAAGUUUUUUUUUUUUAACAUAAAUUUCAAUAUAGAUUCUUAUCAUAUUAGCUCUUUUUGAUACAAUGCUUAUAACUAUCCAUAGCCCUUCCCCAAUCAUUAAAUAGUAGGAUAAUACACUUUAACGUAUUCGAAUCCACAUCCUCUUCUACUGACAACAAUGUCAAUCAAUACAAUUUUAAAUACGAGUGUACUACUUAGAUAAUCAUAUCCAAGGUACACAUACUUUUAAAAUUUGAUCCACACACUUUAAAUAUACCCCACCUCUGAUCUAAUCUAGCAUUUAUCACCUAAGCUGACGGUUAGAGGAACAAAAGAACUUGAUUGAUAUAAUAUCAAUAUUUUAUAGACUCAAUCGUACCAUAAUUAUGGACGUUUUCGCUGAGUUAACUCUAUAUCUAAAUAAGUCAUGGUAAACAUUCAAUAUUAAAAAAGAUAAAGGGAAAGUAUAAUAACCCAAAACACCAAAUUUUGGUUGGUUUAAUUUGCAGCUUUAACCAAUGCUUUUGCAUGAUCCAUCAAUUAGUGAGGAUUUUGAUCUUAAUUGGAGGGUCCCAUUCGGUUAUUAAGCUCUUUUUCCACCCUCAUGAUUGCCAUAACAUGGGCCCUUACCGUUUUACUUUGGAUACCCUUUUAUCUUUGCUUUGCUUUGCUUUGAUUUAAGGUUUUAUACAUAAAUGGUCACUUAAACUAUACCUCAAUUUUUAGAUUUGUCCUUAAAGUUUUUUUUUUAUCAAGAGUGGCCCCCACACUAUCAAAUUUAUCUCAUUUUACCCAAAAAGCGUACAAUAUCCAAUAAAAAUAUUUAAAAUGUGACGCGUGUCACAUUCUUAUUGGUUAAUAUCAUUUUUUGAAUAAACAAAAAUAAAAUUAACAGUUUAGCGAUCACUUUGACCAAAUAAAAAAGUUUUAAGGACUACUUUAGGAAUUUAGAUAUAACUUAAGAGUUAUUUUAUUAAUAAAGCUUUGAUUUAUUCAUCAAUUAACACUGAAAGAGUUUUCCUUAAUUUACUCAAAUGGUCUUUUUGUUUGUAUCACCUAACAUUUUGAAGAACAUCCUUUCUCUGUGUACCUCAUACAAUUCGUUAAUACGAAAAUUUUAUGAUUUUUUUAAAAAUAAAUUUAAUUGUCACGUUGCAGGUUACAAAUACUUUUAAAUAAGGGCUUUUUUCAUACAAGAAUACCAAUUAAAAAAUAUCUUCAAAGGUAUAUCAGUUAUACUCAGAUCAAAAUGUUUAAACUUAAUUUAUCUAAUUUCUUCGGCAGGGACCUAACCCAAAAUUGGUAAAAUUAAAAUUAGAUCUUUAUAAUUUUGAAGCAUUAAAAUUGAAUUUUUUUUAAAUUGUAAAAUUAUAAAUUUAGCCCCUAAAAAAAUUAUAAUUCAACUUCAGCCUCUAAAAUUUUUUCCUCUAACUUCAUCUCCCCAUAAUUCAAUAUAUUUAAAAAAAUUUGUGACUGACAUUACCAACAAAAAAUAUAUUUAUAAUUAGUAUUUAAUAUACAAUUAAUGAAAUGUUUUAAUUCUAUAAGCAAUGUUCAAAAUUUUCAUAUAUCUCAAUUUUUAAUAUUUUUUUUAUUAAAUCAUGAAUGAAAUAUAUAUUACCUUUCAGAUUUUACUUGUAGAGUCUAAUAACUAUAUGACGCAUUAAAUCAUUAUACAUAUAUAAGGUCAAGUGGUCCAUAGGUAGCUUAGAGUACAAGGGAUUAAGUUGAGGGUCUCUUAUCAUUUUCCCCAAAUGUGAAGUGAUGUUAACUGCUUAGCUUUCUCCUCUUGCCCCAUUCAUUUUCCUUCCUUUCCACAAUAUAUAUUGUAUAAGUAUUUAUGGGUAAUCGAUUGAGUAUUUACUCGAUUAAUAUGAGUAUUAAUGUCAAUAGAGGAGGACGUAGAUUUGGCGCAUUAUUCUUCUAAUCAUGGGUUGAGAGGCUAUGAGUAGUUUUAAAUAUUAUGUCCAAAAAAAACAGAUAUGAUUAGAACCUAUAAUAAGAUUAUUUAAAAAAAUAUUUAUGGGUAAUCAGUUUAUACAAUUUCGAUUAAAUGUAUAAAUCCAAUCAUUAAUCAUUAAAUUGUUUUACUUUAUGCCAUAGUAUUGUUUUAACUGCAUAAGCAUGUGGGUUAAUGAAAACUACUUAUAGUAUCUCAAUUAAAUGUAAUCAACAACCUCAACUCAUAUCUCCCAUCUCUCUCACUCUCAAUUAUAUAACCUAUUAAUAAUUAACAUUAAUAACCCACUUUCAAGUAGAUCUCAGGCUACCUGCCAUGCCAAGCCUAAAGCUUAUAAGAUGCUUGAAAAGGUUUGCACAAAUAUACAAGAAUAAGUAGGAUAAUGGUUUGGGCAAAAAUUAAGCUUAAUUAUUUAAAUUAUAGAUUAAAUUUAUCGAUAAAUCAUGUUAAGCGUAAUGAUAAGAUAUAUUAUACUCUUAAGAAAAGAAUGUAGAUUCAAAUACUAGAAACGAUAUUGUUAGGAAAAGUAAUCACAAAUCUCAAACAUGAAUCAUAAAAUAAACAUAUAAAAUACUAAAAAAAAUCGAAUUUAAACUCAUUUAAAAUUGUUGAAACAUGGAUAAUUUAACUCAAUAUUGCAACAGGAAUUUCGAUAUAGUUUCUAUAAAAUUUAGUGUUACAAUAUGAUUUCCCAUAGAAGUGUGAUAAAAUCAAUAAUGUUGACUUGUAUUAUUGCAUUAAGUAGUGCAUGAAAUGUAGGAUUCUAUUGUAAAAGAGAAUUAGAUAAAAUUGUAUAAAGUGCAUACUAAAAACUGUUUUGGAGGCUUUAAAGAAUUCUAUUCGCUUAAAAGGUAAGAGUCUACUUCAUCAGCUAAGGUUUACAAUGUAGGGUAAGUGUUCAAUCGAAUUAAGUGAAAAAAUUUUGAGUUUAUCGAGUUGAUGAGUCCUAUUUUAUCAUACUAACUUGAUUUGAAAUUUUCUCGAAUCGAGUCGAGUAAAAUGAAAUUCAAGCCAAAUCAAAUCAAGUGAAAUUAUUUGAGUUAAAUUAAAAAAUUAAACAUGUCAAAUUAAAAUCUUGUUAUAGUAUAACUAAUUUUAUGUUAGAGCACAUAAAUUUGAAAUCACAUAUAUUUGAAAACUUUUUCAAAGUAAAAUAAGAAAAAAAAUAAUUUAAUAUAAUAAACUUAAAUUAUUAAUUAACUUUUAUUUAAGUCCCCAAAAUUAUUAUUUUAAAAAAAAUUAAAUUUUUAACUUUCUUUAUAUACUUUAUAAUUUUUUUAAAAAAAUAUAAAAUUUGGAAUUUUUAUAAAUAUUUUGAAUUUUAAAAAUUAUUAUGAAAAUUUUGAAAUUUAUUUUGUAUUUUUUGUUGAAAGAGAUCAAUUUGCUUUUUUUUUUAAAAUUAAUAGGGACCAAAAGGGGUAUUUAUACCAAUCUAUUAUUCGAGUUAUUCGAAUUGUAAAAUUCAACUUGACUUGAACUCAGAACUCGAAUUACUUAUUCGAUUUAAUUCGAAAAAAUUGAAUAAGAUUCAAUUAACUUAGAAUUCGAUUUUUAUUUUAUUUUUUUGAUCAAAUCGAGUUUUGUUCACCCCUAAUAACUUGUUAGCAACUUAUGCAAGAAUUUUUUAAUUUUAAAAUAAAAGCUAAUAAGAUUAUUUUAUCUUGAUAUUAAAUGCUAUUUAUACAACAUAUAAAAGAUGGUGGAUACACACAGUUGGGGUAGACUUUUUGAGUGUUUCAUUUUUCGGGUUGAGGGAAUAUUUUGCAAGGUAAAUACACCUUGAUACCCUAGGUAUUAUUUGGAGAAUUUUAUUCACUUGUAUGCAAAGAUGUUUGCAAUAUGUGAUAAUAUUUUGGGAGAUUGGAUGCAAACAAUUGCAUACUAGUGAAACUACUUUUUAUCUACAUUUUGCAAGAUAGAUACAUUAUAAUUAGAGGUGUCCAUAAGUCGGAUUGGAUCCAAUCAAAAUUUUAUACCCAUUUGUCAGGCUAAAAAUAUUAAAAUUCGAGUCCCAUCUGGCCCGUUCGUAUUAAUUUUUUUAUAUAAUUUUUUAAAAUAUAUAUAAUACAUCAACAAUACUAAAAACAUUAAAAUAAAUGUUAAAAACAUUAAAAUAAAUGUUCCCCAACAAAUUGAAAAUAAAUUUACAAAUUGAUUAAUAAAUUUUAAAAAAAUAUGUAUACUUAAAUAACACUAAGAUAUGUAUAACUUAACAAGCAAAUACCUCUAGAAUAGUAACAAAAUUAAAAAUAAAACAACAGUAAUACAAUAUCCAAAUAAUAACAAUAAAAUAGUAGCAAUAUAAUUGUGAAAUGGUAGCAAAAUAAUGAAAAAGAAGAAGAAAAAAAAGAAAAAAAUUACAAUUCUUUUAUUUUGCAUAUUCGGGUCGGCUAUUUUCUAAACGGACCUUAUUUUUCAGCCAAAAAAGUCUUACCUGAGGCUCAACCCGUUUUCUAAACAAGCCUUAUUUUUUUGCCUAAACACAUUUUUCGGGCCUAUAUUUUUAUCCAAACCCUCCCACUUUUCAGGUCGGGCCACAUGUACAGGUUUAACCAUGAUAUAUUAGGUAUUAUUAUAAACUACUAAAUACUAAAUAAAAAAUAACAUUUAAAAUUAAAAAAAUGAAAAGAAAAAAAAACUUAAAUGAAUAUAUACAAUGUAACAAGGUACAUAAACCUACAUUGUGACAAGUGUCGCAACUUUAUUUUUUUAUUUAAUUUCUAUAUUGUUUAUCUAUUAAAUAAAAUUAAAAUAAUUUAAACACAAUUUUAUCUUAAUGUAUUACAAAAUUUAAUUAAAAUAAAUGAAAAUUGUUAUUUGGAAUAUAUGGAUUUUAAAAAUAAUAAUAAUUUUCAUUUAAAUAAAUUUUACAAAUAAUAUAUAAUGCUGAUUAUAUAGUUUUAAAUAAUAUUUUAAUAUAUGAAUUGUUAUCUACAUAUUUAUUUAAAUAUAUUACAAGAAUUAAAACUAUUUAAUAACAUAUUCAUCAUAAAAUAAAACGAGAAUUAUAAAUUAUUAUUAUUAUUAUUUUAAAAUAUUUAUUUAAAUAAAACUAUAUGAGCAUAGGUUGUAACAUUCUACAUAUUUAUAUAGGUAAACCAUCAUGAUAAAAACUAUUAUCAUAAAAUUUUGCACUUUUUAUUAUAUGAUAUGUAUAAAAUAGUUCAAUUAGAUAUGAUUAAUAAUAAUAUUUAUGCUCAUAAAAUUAUCAAAUUAUAUAUUACAAUGUAUUUAUAAUGGCUCAAAUAUUAAAUAAUGGUUUACGGGUUGUAAUAUAUAAUAGUUCAAACAUAUUAUAAAUUUGAAAUAUAAUAUAUAUUAUAUUGAAUUAUUAUUAAUAGUAGAUAAUACUGUUAUAAUAAUUUAUAGUAGUAAAAGUAAAGGGUGAGCUAACAAUUCAGUGUGUAACUCAAUCCAAACAAUCAGCACAAAUACAGAUACAGUAACAAAGAUGAAUAUAGAUACAGAUAUAAAUCCUACUUCAUCCACUACACACCAUAUUUGUUCAUCCCUAGACAUCAAUUAGAGUAUUAAAUACUCAUGCAACCUUACCCACCUAGAAGUGAGCGUAUGUCACUUUUCAGAACAGUGCAAUCAAGCUACCAGAAAUAAUGUAAUAAUCCGCCAGAAUUAGAUAAGUGUGGUCAAGCCAUCAGAACAAAUAUGUGGUUUAAACCACCAGAUAAGACAGAUCAUUAAAUUGUUAACACUUCCUCCAUCAUAUUAUUAUCCCACCUUAAUGCAUAUGCAAACAUUAAUCAGGUAACAAAUGCAUAUAUAUCAUACACGCUAUACGUAUCAGAAUAUACUAUCAUGCUUUUAGAAAUUGCACAAACAGAAUAUUAGAUUUCAUAUCUAUAAGUCAUACAUAACACAUUAUGAAACCUACAAAGUGGCUAAUCUCGAAUCGUACUUUAAAUACGGCCUAACUAAAUUUUAUAGAAAAUGAGCACACAUGCCCAUGUGACCCACACGGUCUGGCACACGGCCUCACACAUACUCAUGUGGCCCACAUGACCCACUUAACUUAGCCCAUGUGGCUCACAUGGUCGUGUGAUUUACACGGUCUGGCACACGGCCAUGUGGUGUCGACAAUGAAUUUUUUGGCUUCGCAUCGUUCAUUGUUUUUCGAGAUUAUCAUUACAGACUUGGUCGUUUUUCGAUACUAACACCACGAAAAAGAUUCCAGAACUUAAAACAACAUUUAACACGAACAAUUUAGCAACGAUACACUAAAUAUAAUCCAUUAAUUCAACCACAACCACUAACAUUAGGCCUUAACAAGCUGGAAAUCAGUCUUUUGGGCAUUCGAUUACUUACCCAGAACAGUAGUGACAGUCCUAAAAAUCUCCUAAUUCACUAGAAGGAUGUCACAUGCCUCACAAACUUCUCCUAUUGAAACAUCAAAACAAUCAAAAAAAUGAAUAUUGCAUAAUACUACAACCCCUAUUCGUCAUACGGAAACGAAUUAACCUUACCGAAGAAUGCACUUACAAGACUUACACUUAAACAAAAAUAUGAAUUCUUUGCUCGAACACGGCGCUACGGUGAUUACAUGCAAGAAAAUCAAUACCACAAGGAUUUAAACAUUGGACCUCUAGGUAAGCUGAAGUUUUACCACUAAAUCAACAAGCUCAUUCUUAUCAUUAAUUUAGCAAAAAUAAUAUAUAAGCUUAAUAUCCAAAGUCGGUGGUUGGGACAAAAAUAACAAAAAUUUAAAUGAAAGAAUUUGAACCUAGAACAUCACACACACUAACACAACACAUAACCAAUAAACUAAAUUAAUCACUUUAACAAUAUUUAACAAUUCAAAAAUAAGAAUUUUGAGACGUUGCUAAAUUGUAUCAUAUAUCAUAUAUCAAACUUACGAUACAUCAUUCAUAAAAAUUAUAACAAACUUACGAAAGGAUUUAAUGAUAUUUAAUUCUUAACGGGUAAAAACUUAUAUCAUAUAUCAUAUAUAUUUAUAUAUUAAGAAUUUGAAUCAUUAAUUAUAUAUCUAUAUAUUAUAAUAGUUUCAUCUUUCAAAUUUUCUUCCUCAUAAUUAAAGCAUAAGUUAUAUUUAUAAUAUCAUAAAUAUAUUAUAUUUCAAAAAUUUACACACAUAAUCAACCUAUACAUCGCUCGUGAUAAGAAAACUAAUUUAUAAAUAUGAAUGUACAAAAUUCGAGCUAAAUCUAGCUUCAAUUUUCCGGUGAACUUCUUUUGACUUUAAAUCUUACUUUUUCUUCUUCUUUUUGGCAAAAUAACUUAUUUGGCACAAAAACAAAAGUCGUUUUAACUUUUUUUUUCACCAUUUUUUAGCAUUUAAACUUGCAUUUUUUUGUUAAAUCACUCCAAAAUGAAUGGAAAAGUUAACAUUUUUAACUUUGCUGAUGUUUCGUACAUGUGGAUAACACAUCAACAUUUAAUAAAUCUUAAAAAAAUUAUAAAAACUAUUUUUAAAAUUUAAAAUAUUAAUAUUAUAAAAAAAUAUAAAUAUUUUUAAAAAUUAAUUAAAUGCUGAUGGGUCAUCUACGUAGCAAUCCAUAUGUAUGUCAUGUCAACAAAGUUAACAAAUAUUAAUAUUUUCAUCCAUUUUAGGAUGAUUUAACAAAAUAUAUAAAUUUAAAGACUAAAGAUGCGAAAAUAAUUAUAAGACCAAAAUGACUUUUUUUUUUAAUUGAAGGACGAAAUAAAUGAUUAUGUAAAGUUGUGAAUAUUAAUAUUACCAUAACAAUCAUAAUUCGCUUAUGGUUUAUUCAUUUUUAGGGUUUUCCUUACUAGGAGUCUAGGAUACUUGAAGGCAGAUAUUAUUAUUAUUAUUAUUAUUAUUAUUAUUAUUAAAUUUAAACAUAUUUUUUUAAUUAAGGAACAAUAAUUUGGUCCGGGUCGGUCCUUGGACAGUAUUGUAAUUUCCCAAGUUAUUAACAUUUGUUUAGGGUUUCUCAUAGUUAAGAAUUAAGUGGGCUAAUUUCCCAACUUAGAUUUGAUGAUACGAUUAAAAAAUAGGAAAUAUCAAAAUAUGAUCAUAUGAAUUAUUAAUACUAGUUUUUUUUUAUCUGAGUAAAUAGAUAAUUACUUGAAUCAAUUUAAUAAAAAUUAAUAUACUAAAAAAUACAAUUCCAUCAUUUUAAUAGUUUAUAUAUUUAUAAUUUUUAAAGAAUUAAAUUAAUAUUUUAUCAUUUUAGGGAGUUAAAAUUUAAUUUUACUAUUAUUAAUUUAAAAUUUUAUAAAUUAUAUGUACAUACCCAAUUUUGCCAAACCCAAAUACAUUUCAAACCCUUACUAACCCAAGUCUGUUUACAAUAUUUUCAGCCCAAUUAGCCUAACCCAAGUACUACUAGCCCAAUACCCUAAAUUAACCUAGCCCAGCAGCCCAAAACAAAUUAGCAGAGAGGAAACCCUAAUUCCACUUGCCUCCUUACUUGCGCCGCACGCUCUUCUGCCCUUGGCUACCACGCCCCACUUUCUUCUGACACCAGCACUGGCCACCUGCUCCACCAUGCCUCUGCCACCGCCGUUCGCCCAUACCCUGCAAAAUGAAACAAAUGCCAAGACAGAAGCAGACAGCACAAGCAGUAACAGAGAAUAAAACAAACAAUACUUUAAUAUGGGAAUCGGCUAUAAAGCCGAAAUGGAAAAUCUGUAAAAGGGGGGAUUUUUGCUAUGAAAACAAAGAUUUUCUUUCAAUUUUAACAGAUUGAAUACAAGAACCAUUCGAAAAUACAUAUACAAUCAGGGGCUCUAACACCAAAUCGGAGAAUCAAAUCUAAAACCUAAGGUGACUUUUCUUUCAUUUUUUCUUUACUAUUUUGAGUUUGUUUUUUACACAAAAAUACUAAAAAAAAUAACAAAACACAUAAAAACAUAUAUAUUAUUAAGCAAAAAAAAAGAAAAGAAAAUUUACCUUUUCCGGCCACCGUGCACGGUGGCCGACGCCGACGAGUCUCCGGUAACCGUCCGGCGACCGGACCCCUGGCCGGAGUCCCACCGAAAAUCGCCCUCUCCCUCUCCCUCUCCCUUUCUUUUCUUUUUUUUCCUUUCCCCAUCCCCAAAUGAAUUUUUUUUUAAUUUUUAACUUAUAUAGGGGACCAAAACGUCCCCCCCUUUAAUAAAUAAAACGACGUCGUUUUGGACGCGGGUCGGGUCGACCCAACCCGCACCAGGGCAGGAUCCGCGUGUUUCUUAGCGGAAGGGAAAUUUGCGUGCUCGGCCUUUCCGCUUUUCUGAGAUUUCACAAUUACGUUUUUUAUGUUUUGUAAUUCGGCCCUAGAAUUUUUCAUCGUUUUCAAUCUGGUCUCCGUGCUGCGCAACGUUUAGAUAGUUGGGAUUAUUUUCAAUUUUGGUCCCUCCAGGUUGCGCGUGCCUCACAUUUUGAUCCCUCCUCUUUGUUUCCUUUUUAAAUUGACCCCACAACAUUGUUUUUAAUUUAAUUUUAGUCCUUUUUCGUUAUUUUUAUUUCCUUAUUAAAUACUCUUAUUAUUUUUAUAUUAUUAAUUUUAUUAUGUAUUAGUUUAUGUUUUAUUAUACAAUUAUAUAUUUAUAAUAUGUAUACACGCUUAAUAUAUUUGUAUAUACUUAUAUAAUAUUAGUACUAAAAGUUUUUAUUUUAAUAUGUAUAUAUUACCUAAAUGUUUAAAAUUAUAUAUGUACGUAUAUUCUUCAUUAUGUUCUUAAUACUAUACUUUACAUAUAUCGUACAUUUUUGUUUCAAGUUUGCUUUCAUGUAUUGUUUAGUCAAAAUUGUUUUAUUACUCAUUUUAAAAUUGUUUCACAUACUUUGCUUUAAACAUUAUAUCUCUUUCAUAUUAUGCACGUCAUUUUUAACUCUAUAUUGUAUAUCACAAUCUCAUAUAUUAUGUAUGUACUUCUCAUAUUAUUAGUUAUGUAUAUAUUCUUUACAUUAUCUUAUGUACAUAUAUUUUUCAUAUUAUAUUAUAUACCUAUCCUUUUGAUACCAUGUUGUAUAUAUUUUCAAUACUAUAUUACAAAAAUUUUUACCAUAUUAUGUAUGUUAUGUAUAUACGUUUUAAUGUUUUUGUAUUAUCUUAUAUGUAUAUUUUAAUAACUAUAUGAGGUAUGUAUUUUUAACACCGUAUUAUGUACAUAACUUUCAACAUCAUUGUAUACACACUUUUUAAUACUAUGUUAUUUAUACGUUUUUAUAGGUAUCGUGUACAUGCUCUAAAUACCAUCAUGUAUAUAGUUUUUUAUUGUUACUAUUAUGUAUACAUAUAUAUAGUAUCAUUAAUAGUUCUAAUAUCAUGCUCCCAUCACUUUGCUAACUAUUAUUAUAUGUUUGUAUAUAUUAAUUCUUAUUUCGCGUUUAAUACUAUUGUUAACAUAUUUAAUAUCGCAUAUAUGGCCAUUGUUUUAAUAUUCUCGUCGUAUUUAUCAUUUAUUUCAACAUAUUUCUAGCCCUUCCAUUUGUUCACUUUUAUUUCAUAUCAAUUUUGCUUGGCAUUUCUUCGAAAAUCUUAUUCUCGUUUUCUAAUUAAUUUCAAUAAUCGAGGCAACAUAUCGACUUAACAUUAAGUCAUCGAGUUCAUCGCUAUGUUGGGUGAACGUCAAUUGACACGUGUUAAAGCGAUAUACCCUUCUCAAAAAACGGAAUAAACUAAAAUUUCUCGUUUUUUAAUCGGAUCACGACUAAAUUUUACAUUGAACCCGAAUUUUUAAAAAUCAAGACAACCUGUGUUUAUGAGAUACCAAUUUUUGGGCGUCGCGAGGGUGCUAAUACCUUCCUCGCGUGUAACCGACUCCCGAACCUUAAUUUUUCUCUGGCUUUUAACGUAGACCUAAACUCAGUCUUUUUCUCGUUUUUAAAGAAAAAAGAAAUUUAUUAGGUGUUCGAUCACACCUAGGAAAAAGGAUCGGUGGCGACUCCCCCUUUUAUUUCAAAAUCGAACUUCAGUUUCCAAACUUUUUCACUAGAUCGCCACAAUUAGCGACCCCGAAACCAAUUUUUACGUCGCUACAUUAUAAAUGAGACUAAAUAGAAAAUUUUCUAUUUUAAGAAGGCUCAAAGACCUUGCCAGCCUCCUUGACUUCACCAUUGAAAUCUAGAAUAUACUCCUCACUAUGCUUUGGAAAAUUAAAGAUUUGAAAUUAUAUUAUUGUGUAAUAGAUAUAAUUAAUUUUUAAAUAUAUAAAUAAAGUUAAAGUUAAAAUUAAAUCACUGUGAUAAAUUGUAUAGAAUAUAGAUGAUUUAAGACAUGAUGCAAAUAAAACAUAGUUAAAUAAUUAAUAUAUAGCAUGCCAUAAUAAUAAAGGUGAAUCUAGAGGGUUCACAGGGCUUGAUUCUCCUAAAAUAGAAAAUUAUUAUUUAGAUUUUUUUAAAAAAUUUAAAAUUUUAAAUUAAUAAAAAUAAAAUUGUACUUUGAUUUCCCUAAAAUUAUAAAUUUUUUAUUCAAUCCUUUUAAAAAUUAUAAAGAUAUAAACUAUUAAAAAUUAAAUUUUCAUUUGGCCCCCUAAAAAAAUAUUCUGGCUUCGCCCCUGCAUGAUAAUAAUAUUAAUACAACACAAAUACACAAAAAAAUCAAAAUCUAUACAUAACAAUUAUUUACUUGUAUAAUUUUAUAAUAUUUUGAAUACAAAGAAAUAACACAAACAAUUUUCUCUAAAUUGAAUCACUCAAAUAAAAUAUUUUAAAUAUCUCAUGAUUUUAAAAUAUACUAUAAGGAUAAUUUUUUAAAAAUAAUUUAUUAUGAUAAAUCAUAUAAAUUAAAUAAAGAAACAAUACUAAUCCAACAUAAAAGAAAUGUAAUAAUAAUAUCAUAAAAAAUAUGUUCUUAGUUAAUGAUUUAGUCUGUACUUUGAGAAUUAGAGAAAACUCGAGUUCGAGAUUCAAUUAUAUAUGAGAAAAGUAUUAACAACCUCACAAUAACUUAAUACAUGUUGUUUUAAAAUUUUGAACCCAGUAUUUAAAUAUGAUCCCGUAAAAUUUAAGAAUGCAUGAAAUUUAUUAAUUAAGUGAAUUUGAUUUUGGAAAUAAACAAAAUACUCAAUUUAAUUUUAUUAUAUUUUUUAAAAUUUACUCACAUUAUAACAUUAAGAACAACAAAUGAGAGCGUAUCCAGUAAUUUUGGCAACAAUCUCUUUAAUUUUCGUAAUGCUAAAAUAUUACCUUUUUUUUUAAAAUUAAAUCGAUGUAAAGAAAUUCAUAGGUGCAUUUUCAUAUAAAUAAUUGAAUUAUUCAAAAUUACAUGCAUUUAGAGAUAAAUAUUUUACCCAGCACUACGCUUGUUCGACUCGUAAAAGGCAAAAAUUAGGAUUCAAAAUUAAAUUAUAAUUUUUAUGAUAAUAAAAAUUACUUAGGACAUCAUGUUCUCAAAAACUCAAACCUUUAUCAACAUAGAAUUGAAUCGAAUAUCGUUUUCAUCUUCCCAAGUUUCUAUACAUAAACUAUGAACACGGAAUUAAACAAUACAAAAAUGGUAUUCUUCUUCCAUUGACAUUUGAUAUCAGCUUCAGAAAAGGCAAAAGACAAGAAUAAAGAGAUAAAACAAAAGAUUAAAUCAAUCCUAUAUCCUUGACUGACAUAAUUUACCUUAAAAACUCUAUACUUUAACCAAUCCCACCUAUAUGAUUUUUCUGUUUUCCUAUACAUAACUUAAAGCUUACUUGGAACCAAGUCAUUGUAUUGUAUUUCAUGUAAUUUUUUGAAGCAGAUCCUCAUCUCCUCCAUCUGCAUUGAAGGAAUAGAUGUCGACCGGGGCCACCGUGCAACCCAUGGCAUUCUGCUUGGUUCUUUUAUUACAAAAGGAGCCUCGGUGUUUGUCUAGAUAGAUUACAAUCACGGUGAUAUCGUCGUGAAAAUGGCGCCUUAUCCCCUUUUUUAUUUUCUUGAUGUCACUGUAUCUCAUCUCCCUUUUCUUUGCAACUUCUUGAAGUACAGCUCUUACCAAUCUCCUGGCAAUACCCUGCAAGCAUUCAAGCAAACAAAUAUCAAUAAUGAAAUGCAUUGCAUUUCCAUAGGUUUCAUUAGGUUAAUGGAAGAACACGAAUACUCACGGCUCUCGGGUUUUUGAAAACGAUGUUUACAGCAGCUUCAUCACUCAACUGCUCCCAUAGGCCGUCUGAUGCAAAGAUGAGGAAUUGAUCCUGUGGCUUAAGCUUUCUAAUAAGGAUCGUUCUGCUGUAAUAACCGGCCUUUUAAGAGGAACAGGGUUUCCGAACUGCUGGAAGAUCGGAUCUCUAUAAAACUCAGGUUUCUUCAGGUAAACAUCACCUAUAGAUCUUGACACCUGAAAUAAGAAAAACAAAAAUGGCUUAGACCAGCAUGAUCACUCACAUGCUCAAAGAUCAUGUAUUAAUCAAUCAUCUCCAGUUCUACAAUCCAAUGUAAGAUAAAAGCUAAUGCAUCUUAUUCUCUCGAUUCGUGAAUGGAUCGAAGUAAAAAGCUCAACUUGCCUACCAAAGUAAAGGGGAACAACAUCACAAAAAGAGAAGAAAAACAUAAAAACGAGAGAGCAUCGAUUCCUUGCAGUUACAUAAGCCUAGCUUUAUGCUUCAGGGGCCUGCAUUUGUCCAUCUCAUGCAUAUAAGGCAUACUAUAUGGAAAAUAGCAGCAUGAAACAGUACUGGAAAUCAGACCAAAAUAUUCUUGGAAAAGUCGAAAAACUCAGAAUUAUAACCAUUUUUUAGAAUGAACUUCCAUUCUAAUGCACAAUGUAUACAUCCAUAAUUAUACCUCUCCAUCAAGCAAAAAGAAACAAAAUGGUUGCAAGCAAUGCCUACGAAGAGGAAGUUAAUUGGCAACUAAUUCUAGAAUCAACAUAUUGAUCAUUUCUCAAGCAGACUAGUUUUGAACUAAACGAUUAUAAAUCAACUUGUCAAUAAAAUUGUACCUGGAUUAUGCCCUUAAUCUUCCAAACUCCGCGGGUGUAAACGACUAUAUGUGAGUCAUCUGGAUGAAGUUCCUCGACCUCCUUUCGAACUUCCUCGACUCCAACAUUAUGAUCAGUUGACAACCUCUCUGCCACUACUGUGUUUUCCUUAUCCCCCGAAGCUUUCCUGCCAAGAACAGCUCUCGAGUCACCGAGAUUCGCCACGUAUAACACAUCAUUCGAAAUUGCACCAACUAGACAGCAUGAUCCAACCGAAGCAAUUUGAGGCCUCACGGACAAUGAUCGCUUCACCAAACGCAAAAACUCCUCUUCAGUGGCAUUGAAUGCCUUCUUUAUCACAUCUGCAGAUAAUCCCCCUUGUUCUGUAGCAAAUUCUACAAUGAAUAAAGAAAAAAAAAUUUAAGGGUCUCCAUCAAUCUUUUUUAGAAUCCAAGUGCAUGCUUAUCACUGAAAAGUGUGCAAAACAAAGAAAAAUAAAUGACCUGAAAAAUGCCAAAACUUGAACUACACUUACUAAUUAUUCCGAAAAAUUCAAGUCCAGACAACCCCAAGUAGAUACAAAUUUAGACAAAUAGUUCAUAUUCUCUUUUCCCAUCAAAACAUAGUGCUACAUGACUGUGGAGCGGGGCAAGAUAGAUAUUGUCAAAUUCAUUACUGUUCCAUUGCUGGCAUGAUCUGCCUCGACCCCACUCUGCUUCGCCAUAAAUGUUAAAACUUGAAUAUCAUUACUUUUAAUAUGCAUAAUCUAUCAAUACCUCACCUAAUAUAUACAUUUUUACUCGUUUUAAAAGUUAAAUAUAUAAGAAUAGAGCAAAUAUCAAAAUUAAGUGCCCCAUUGGUCCCUCUUUUACUGUUAAAAAUUAGAAAAAGAAAGUCUAUUUGGAGUCAUCAGUUCGAAAUCUAUCAAACUAAAUACAUAUUUGAUGAUUCCAUAGACAACUUAUGAUUUUCCUGACAAGGUCAUAUCUAUAUACAUACAUGAUCACAUGUUCAUUCAUGUCAUACAUACAUAGGAAUGUUGAAAUAAAGAGGGAAAAAGGGAAUUACUGUGGAGAAAAGGGAAGAGAUGUUUGUUAACAAAACGGGAAGCUUCCGGACCGCCAUGACCAUCGUAGACGCCAACGUAGGUAGCAAAAGGAGAGGUGAAGACUUGGCUUUGAUCUUCGAGACAGUUGUUAGCCUGCACGACGGCGAUGGAGAAAUCACCGGAAGCGUGGGGUUUAAGGUCAGCGUGCCACAUGAGAGCAUCCCCACCAGCUCUAACGCCAAGACAACGUUCGAGCGGCCUGGAAAGGGACCGUAACAUCAUCAUCAUCGUGUUUAAAAAAUAAUAAUAAUCCCUUUAUAGGGGAUUUGAUUAAAUGAAAACCUUUUCGAUGGUUUCAAUGGGGGGUUUCACUUUGGGGGAGAGGAAAAUGGAAAGAUAUUAAGAGGGAAAGAGAGAGUAGAGAGUGGGGUAAAGUGAAUGGAAAAGAAAUGCCGCGUAAAGAGAGGCAGAUGAUGAUGACCAACGACCCCCGAUGCUUGCUGUAAUUACUUCCCACUCUACGCGUUAACCACCCUUUUUCUUCUUUUUUGACUUUUAAACCCAAAUCCUUUUCUUUUAUUUUUAAUUUAUUGAAUGGAGACACUUAGGUCUAAUUUAAUAUUUCAAUUUUUAAAGAAUCGUAUCAGUGAUUGAAUUAUGUAUCUACUUAUUCUCGAUUUAAUCGGUUAGUUUAGCUCAAUUUAGGCCUGUUCAGAUUAUUCAACUUAAAAAUUUGUUCGAAAAGUGAGAUGAUUUAGGUAAAAAUAUAUGUUUAAAAAAUAAAUUUUAAUAAAAAAAUAAGGUAUAUUUUUUAAAUAGAUUGAGUCUUAAUAUUUUUUUGUUCAGGCUCAACUUGAUCUGGCUCAAAUUUGUAAAAAAAAAAAAUGUUGUUACUUUGUCAUUGUUUUACUGUCAUUUCGCUAUUAUAUUAUUACUAUUUUAUUGUUUUUGUUUAGAUAUUGUAUAAUUAUUUUUUUAUUGUUGAUUUGGCUACUAUUUUAGAACCAUUUGCUUACUAAGUUGCACUUAUAUCUUGGUGUUAGUUAAGUAUAAAUAUCUUUUAAAAAUUUGUUUUCAAUUUAUUGGGAAACAUUUAUUGCUCCAACUGACCUAUGGAUAGCUCUAGUUCAAUCCUUUUGCCCGAAUUGAUAUAUCAAUUGAUUUAUUGGUUCAACUAAUUCGAUUAGUUGAUUUUAUUUGAUUUGAUUCAAAAACACUAAGUGUUAUUUCAAGUUUAACUUAAUUUAUAUUUGUGUUGAUAGUUUAAAUUAUUUUAAUUUUAAAUCAUUCAAAUUCAACACUUAAUUUUUUGGGUCAGAUCGUUUUAGGACUAUUUCAUAUUAUAAUUUUAUAAAAAGGAAGUUGAACUGAAUAAUAUUUAAGUUUUUGAGUUGAAAUUCAAAUCAAUGUUAUUAAAUUGGGUCAUAAUUAAUAGGUGUACUAGAAUCUAAUUACAAAUAUAUAUCUAUAAGAUAAAACCAAAAAUAAAGGAUUAACAUCUGACCAAGUAUUGACAAUGCAUUGUUAUCCACAAAUUUAAUUAGAUACAAAACAAGAUAAACACUGUAAUGUGAAUUUCGUAUGUUAACUUAACGGUUAGGAUAUUCAUCGCUUCAAAUGUGAUUUGGGAUUGAGUCACAUUAUCUCUAAUAUGUCCUCUACCAAAGAAAAUGGAGGACUAAAGUUUGAAAUCUUAUUUAGUAUUUACAGCCAUGAUCAAUUUCUCUUUAUGAUCUCCACCCAUACAAUAAAUGUGAAAAGUGUAGCAGUACGAAUACCAUGUUUUUAUAGGGGCCGCCAUUCAAGAAUAUAUUACUUCCUCUGAACCUGACACUAAGGCAUGGAUAGCAACUUACAAUGUAUCAAAUUAAACACUAAAAUUAAACUCAUAUAUCAAAUUGAGAUUUAAAAAAAAACACUCAAAUACAAAAUUUGACAUUAAAAUCAAACGCAAGUACCGAAAAAUAUAUUAAUCCAUAUUCAUAAACCUUUUUCUUUGUUUUUGCACCCGUCAAAAUUCCAAGACUUACAUAUCUCUAAUUAAGAGCAUCAUCAUUUACAAAAAUUAAAAAAUUAAUCCCUCUACUUUAAUUUGUUAUAAUUUGUCCCACGUAAGUUAUAACAACCGAAAAGUUAAUCUAAUUAAGUAAUAUUGUUAAACCUUAUCAUUGAAUUGUUUGUUUGGAAACCAGCAAUUUAACAACUUAUAUGCAACAAAUUAACAAAACUCAUUUGUUCAAGUUCAUGUUUUGAAUAACACCUGGACUAAAUUUCCAAUUUUCAUAUGCUACAAUGACUAAAUUUUGACAAAUUAAAGUAGAGGGACCAACUUCUCAAUUUUCAUAAAGUAGGGGAUGAAAAUCAUAAUUAGACCAUGUAUAUGUUCUAUCGUGUGAGUUGGGGCCUGUUUUAUAGUAUACUUCUACAGUAAGGACAGUCCCCACACGUUCUGAGCCAAGGAUCUAAGCAAGCAAAGUGAAACCUGUGCCCACACGGCAGCUGAGUAAGCACAUCUCCUUCUCCGAAGCUUUCAAGGCAUAUACUGCAAUCUCUUGAUUCCCUUGAUGUCUUCCUUUCAACAUUGAUGUCUUGGCUGCGGAAAAUUUCCAGCGGCAAACGGUCCAGAGCCUCCUGAGUAAGUCCAGGAGGCUUCUUGUUUGUUUCUCGUAACAAUUCGAAUCUUUCUGCUUCAGAGGUUAAUGGGGAACCCCUAGCUGCCAACCCUGUAGAGAGUUCACUUAUGAUCCUAAAAUCAUCGCGCGUUACAUGCUCCCGGUGGGAAGCAUUAGGUGGAGCUCUAUUGCUUCGCCUGAAGAAAACAACAGGAAGAAACCGUAAUGAGAGGGAAAAGAAAAGAUGUACAAAAUGUUUAAAUAGCGGUUAAUGCAGGACCUAACAUAUAUGUGUCCAUUAUUGAAUGCCACGUGCAAGUAAAAUUCAGGAUCGAGUGGUCCACAUGCUUCUCUCAAGCAGUAGAUGGUAGUUAGGAAACGAGUAACACUAAUUCGCUGUGUACAUGAAGUGGUACCAAAAGUGGUCUGGAUAGUCAUAGUGGCUAAUGAUGUUACUACUUAGAACCUAUGUUACUCAGAGUCAGGCAUGAGUUUCAGAUAUGGAUAUGUAUCCAGUACAGGUAUAAUUACUUUUUCUAAGUUUUUCCAUAUAUUUAAAAGAUCCUUGGAGGUCAUAUCCUCGUAUUUGUGUGUCAGACACGAGUGUCAAAUGAAGAGUCCGAGCAACAUAGCUUAGAACCACUAAUAUUACCAUAGAAUAGGAAGCACCAGCAGUGGGACUGGACCAUAUUGAUAGUUAGCAAUGCGAGAACAACAGGCACUAAUGGGCAGAAAGCACCAAUAACAGCAGUGGGCCUGGAAAUUAAGGUACUACUGGUAGGUAAGGAGUGACGAAAGCAAUAUCAGCUUGAAUGUAUAAGCAGAAGUGGGACAGAAAUUUCAAGCAUAAAAACAAAAAUUCAAUCUAUUCAAGAAUAUAUACAUAUAGAGCGAGAGAGAGACUAAAUUCAACUUAAACAUUUUCAAGGAAAAAAAGAAAAAGCCUGCCGAAAUAUGAUGAUUAUGUUAGGCAAUUCCAUAGAAGAAAGUUCAAAUUCACUAGUGACAACCCACCCAACUGACCAGCUGAAAAGUCCAUGGUAAGUUGGAAAAUAGUUUGGACCGAGUGAAAUUAGUCUCAACAUUAACUGGCUACAACCCCUAACAGCUCUACCAUAUGAUACGGUAUCUCUAUUCUUACUGCUAAACCAAGUCAGACUCCUAGUACCCCUAAUACAAGACUACAUAUUUAUCAUUUGGAUUCACUAAUAAUAAGGUAGCACAAUGAACUGCAAGGCACUGAUUCUUCCUACAGGUUACGAUGCAAAUUGCUCAUAUGAUAGACACUUCUUUUGAUCAUAUUGCACCCUCAAUAGAUCCACAAAAUCAAAGUUCAAGAGCAAAAUCAUUCUGAAUUUAGGUAAAACUUUCACAGACACAGAGCUCCACAUGACUUGUCUAUCCUAUCAUCAAACUUCAGAAAUAAGUAAUAGAGAAGAGAUGUGCUGUGCUGUGCUGUCUUUAAAAAAUGAAAUUUGUGACAGACCAAGAAUAGUGGGAUAAAUUUGGUCCAACUUGAGUAGCAAAACAAAUUGAGUGCCACAGGCAAGUUCACCAUCAAUGAUAAAAGUGGCUUCCAAUUGGUGUCAAAGAUCAUGCAGAUAAGAAAGAACAUGAUUCAAUAGCUAUUAUAAUUUACUUGUUCUUGCAGUUUGACCAGUAAUAAUGCUGUACAUAAUACAUGGACAAGAAAUGCAAAUACUAAAAGUUGCAAAUUUGCAGAGAGCUCUAGGUAACCUGUUUGCAGAAACAGACACGCCUCUUAGUCUUUCAACAAGCCUUGCUCUUGCAAGCAGCACAGCUCCAGGAAGCCUCUCAUUUGCUCUCAAACUUUGCCUGCUUGAACUGCUUACACCAUCUGCAUUUAAUCCAUAGCUCGAACUGAGCUCACCAGUACCUUCAUCAAACCCUUCUCUAGCAAGCCUCUCACUUGAUCUCAAACUUUGCCUUCUUGCAUUGCUUACACCGACUGCAUUUAACCCAUUGCUCGAUACAAGCUCGCUGGUACCUUCAUCAAACCGCACUGAUGAACGCUCCUGAAAAAGUAAUAUCCAAAUAUAAGCGAUUCAGGCAAGGAGAAAUAAAUUACAUAGACUAGGUAAUAAUAUCAAACUUCCUUGUUUAUUCUUGUAUAUGUGGCAAAAUCUUACUGCAAGUGAGCUUAGGCUUUGCUUGGUACCAAAGAUGGAAAGGAUGAACAUGGAAAAUUUGUUCAUCAAAUGUUAAGAUUCAUAUCCACCUUAUUACUUUGUAACUUAACCAUCAGAUAAACAAUUUUCCAAUUCACUCCUUUCCGUCGUUCAUAACAAGCAGAGCCUUAGGGUUUAGAAAAAUUGUCAAGAAAAUACCUAUUCUUCAGUAAUUUCACUGAUAAAUUUAGCUUAAAACUAAUAAUUUUCAGAGCAAAGUUCAGUAUUGAAGCAUAAAACAGACAACGAAUAAAGUACCAAUAAAUUGGUUGAAAAUCCAAUUCUUAAAUUAAAAAUAAAAAAAUAAAUAUAUUUUCCCUUCCAAAAAUAAUACUUAAUUCACCCCCAUUUUUCCUUUAAGUUCUCUUUUUUCUCAGCAAUAAAAUAAAAACAAAUACCUAACAAGAAAUAAAUAAUUUGAAAAAAAAAAGGUAAAAGAGAAAUUGAGCGCACAGAGAGCGAGGAAGCACGGGAGCUGAAGUGGCGCACGUGGGGAGACCGGCGGAGGGAAUCACCGCCGUCCAAAUCAUGCCUCUGAUUGUGAUGACUGAGAUGAUUCCGGCGAUGGUAAUUCCGUUCAAUUGAGGACCCAAUCCCUGAAUCCGGAUCGGGUCGACCCACUCUUGACCUUCGUGUGUAGAAUAACUCCGAAGCGCUUGUCAUCCAACUAAAACCCCCAAAUGGUGUUUUGAUCUGAUCUUACCAAUUAAAAUUUAUUUUUAAUUUCUCCAAAAAAAAUUUAAAUAAACAUGCAAAUUGUAAUUUGGAUUAAGAAAUAAAGGAAGAGAAGCUGAUGAACCCUACGAAGAAACGCGGGAGAAAUUCCUGCGAAUGAAAAUCGAUAGCCUUAGCUUCAAAGGAAAUGAAUGGAAAGGGAUGUGCGUUUUUUUAACCCUAAAUGGUUUAAUUCCGGUUUUAGUCCCCCUCCUAAGCUAAAAUGUAAUAUUUAAUCUUAUAUUUUAAUUUUAUAUACUUUCGUCUUUGAUAUUAAAGAAUAAUAUUUGAUACACCGCAAAUACAUUAUCAUCGAACAAUAACAUGAUACUUGAGUAUAAACAAAAUUAGUGAAAGAAUUAUCAAUAAAUAUUAACAAUUUUAUUUAGUUUUUUUUUUAUUUUUAAAUUUCACAUUUCGAAUUUUAGAUAUAUUUAAAUAAAAUUAUUAAUAUUUAUUUAUAAGUCAUUCAUUAUUUUUUAUUUCAUUAGCAUUGAGGUGUCGUGUUAUUAUUCAUUAAUGGUUGACGAUUUAUUUUUAUUAAUUUUUAUCAUUAUAACGAUGAUGUGAAAUCUUUUAUUGACAAUUUUGUUAUGGUCAAGGUAGCCAUAAUAUAUGUUUUUUAAUACAAAUUCUGGAUAAUAAUUAGUAAUAUUAAGAAAGUAAAAAAAUUAAAUCAUGUUAAAUUAAUCGAGGUUUAAGGGUGUAAAAGCUCUUCAAUUUUUUCAAAAAAGCAAUUAAGUCUUUACUUUUUUCACUCAAUUGAGUACUUUAACUUUUAAAAUGCAUAAAAAAGGACCUUCAAACUUUUUCAAAAAAAAUUAAGCCCCUACUUUUUUUUACACUCAAUUUGGCACUUGAACUUUCAAAAUAUAUAUAAAAAAAAACCUUCAAGCUUUUUCAAAAAAAGCAAUUAAGCCCAUACUUUUUUUUUACUCAGUUGAUUGGGUAAUUAAAUUGUCAAAAUGCAUAAAAAAUAACAUUUGAUUGUUAACUUUAACAGUUAACCGUUAAAAUUAACUGCCCCUAAUUUUUUUCAAUUAAAAUCAUCCCGUGUCACAACCACAACAUGACAUAUGACAAAACAAUUAUAAAAAAUAAAAAUCAAUACAAGUUAUAAAAAGUAUUAAACUUUAAUAAAAAUAUAAAAUUUAUUAAAAUUGUAAAAUUUUAUAAAAAUCAUAAAUAAUUAUAAAAUGUAUCAAAAAGGCCCUUUAACCAUCAAUUUUUACCGUUGACUGUUAAAGUUAACGACCCCCAAUUUUUUUCUAAUUAAAGUCAUCACGUAUCGUAAUACAGUGUGGCAUGUGGCAAAAAUGAUAAAAAAAAAUAAAGAACAAUUAAAGUUAUAGAAAAAUUAUAAAAUGCUUGUUUAAAAAUUAUAAAAUACUUCUUUUGGUACGAUAAUUUUUAUAUUUUUUUAUAAAUUUUAUAUUUCUUUACAUUUUUUUAUAAUUUUCUUACAAUUUUUAUAAUUGUUUAUGAUUUUUAUAAUUUUUUUUCUAAUUUUUAAUAUUUUUAUAUUUUUAUUAAAAUUUAAUGAUUUUUUAUAAAUUUUAUUUAUUUUUAAUUUUUAUCAUUGUUUUGCCACAUUUCACGCCAUGGUUGUGACACAAGAUAACUUUAACUGAAAAAAUUAGGGUCAGUUAACUUUAACGGUUUGAUUAUUAAAUUUAACAAUCAAAGGGUCUUUUUUUUAUGCCUUUUGGCAGUUCAAAUACCCAAUUUAGUGUAAAAAAAAUAAAGGUUUAAUUGAUUCUUUUUUUAAAAAAAAAGUUUGAGAGUCUUUUUUGUGCAUUUUGACAAUUCAAGUACCUAAUUGAGUAAAAAAAAAGAACAAGGGUUAAUUAAUUUUCUUGAAAAAAUCUUGAAGAUUUUUUACACCCUUAACCCAUUAAUCAACCAACUGUGUCAUUGAAAUUUGAUGAUUUGGGAAAAUAUCUUGUGAAUAUCAAUUAGAGAAAUUAAAUCUGAAUUUCAAUAUAUUAGAGGGACUAAACCCAGAAAUUUACCGUGAAAAAGAAAAGGUAUAUCUUUAUGUGUUAGUUGAAGGACUAGUAUUUAGAUGUAGCCACGCGUUAAACAAAGUGUUCCAUUACAUCAACAUAGAAUUUAUUUUCCUUCAAUAAGAUUUUUUGCGUUGACUGUUGACCAUGGAAAAACUAUAAAUCAAAUUAUUAAUUGAAAAUGAUAUAUAUUCCUUCAAUGAGAAUCUUUUUAUUACCUUAAGUCGAGAAUUUGAUUCUCACCUUGUAUAUGGAGUAGUUUUAGAACUCGUAACUUAAUAUCUACCUCUUAAUAGACCUACAGAAUAGAAAAGAUUAGUUACUAUCUAACUUCAAUAAAUACAUUGAAAAAUAAAAAAAAUCGAUAUUAAAUGAAAUAGACAUAAUAGAUUUCUAAAGUCAACUUUGGUCAAUAUAAAUAGAAAAACUAAAUGAAAUUUGGUUUAGGUAAAUUUUGGGUUCAGAUUAAAUUUAAAAUUUAGUUAAUUUUUAUUUAAGUUAAUUAAGUUUGAUUGUAAUUUUUGAAGGUUUGGUGAUUGGGAUUUAGAUUAUUUCGGGUUAUAAUUACUUUGAGUUUAAGACAUUUUAAGUUAUUUAUUCGGGUCAUGUCUAAUUAUUUAUUUGAAUUGUUUCAAGUUUGGAUUAAUUUGGGUCGAUUUCAUAUUUAGGUUAGACAAAUCAAUUUUCAAGAUAUGAACUAGAGUUGUCUAUAAGCCAAGUCACCUAGUCUGGCCCGAAGGCUCGUCGGCAAAUAGGAGGAUUUUAACAAAAAAAUAUAUGUCCAAAAAUGAGAUUGGACAAAAAAUAAGGCUCGUUUUAAAAAUGGGUCGAGCCUCGGGUAAGGUAUUUUUUUACCCUGGCCUGACCUAGAUUUUACAAUAAAAAAAUUGUUGUUUUGCUACCAUUUCACUAUUAUGUUGUUUCAAUUUGUUGAAAAAUAUUUAUUUUAAUAUUUUUUGUGUAUUAUAUUUUUAAUUUUUUUUUAUAUAAAAAAAUUAAUAGUGUCAGACCAUACCCGGGUUUUAGUAUUUUUAUCCAAGCCAGGCUUGGACAAAAAUUUAAGCUCAUUUUUUUGGGCCAAAUUGGGCCCAAAAAUUUAUCAGGACCAACCUAAUUCGACCAUGGACAAGUUUAUAAAAUAGCUAUUUAUAUAUAAAAAAAAAAUUGUCCAUGAGCUAUUUACUAUUUAGAGUAUUUAAAUAUGUCGAUUGAGAUUUAAUUCUUUUUAUUUUGAGAGGUGGAAUAAAAUAAUUCAAUUAAAGUGUAAUGAUGAUAUACCUAUAAUGCAUUAUAUGUCCCAUUCUUCUAUCUUUUUAGGGAGUCAAUGAUUAUUUAUAGCUAUUAUCUUUAUAUCAAAAAAACAAUUCGACUCAAUAAUUAACUACUUUUGCUAGAUUGAUUUUUGAUUAGAUUAAUAUGUUUUUAGUCAAUUUAAAUUUUAAAAAUUUUCAAAUUAUUUCAAUUUCGAUUAGUUUUAACUUUAGAUCAAUUCUUAUUCAAUUAUAUUUUAGACUCAGAAUUAAAUGGAUCGAAUUAUCAGAUUUAAUGAUUUGUAUGUAAAAUUUUAUUUAAAAUAUUUUAAAUACCACUCUAACACAAUUACAUAAUUCAUAGAUUAUAUAAUUUGAAAUUAUCAUUACACACCACCAUUGAUAAUUUCAGCUUGUAAGUCCUAAUAUUUUAUUCAAAUUUCAUAAAAACCCUUCCUUAUCUCCAUGACUAAUUUUGUUUGAUCAUCACAUAUUUGCAUGGGAAUAGUGGUCAUCAUGAACCGAAGACUCCGGUUUAUCAACACCGUCGACGCUUCGAACCCAGAAACUUGAACCGAAAGAAGCCGCCCGGUCCGGAACGUCAUCCAUCACCCAUUCAUGGCCUUUCGGGAAAUAUAUCCCACUCUUUGGAUGUGGAACCCAACUCGAUGAACUUUUUAUAUCGUCGUUACUCUUGCACUUCUUAUUGAUCUCCCGAUCUGCGCCUGCAAUUUUGCUCAAUGGUCGCUCAACGCGUUUUGCUUCCCUACACCCGAAUAAAGUUUCCAAAAGUCAAACAUAUUUAUUAAGUUCAUAAUGAUUUGCCUCUAAAUUUUGUACUUUUGUAUGGUUUUUUUUUGGUAAAAAUUUUAAUUUUUGGCUUUUCUAAAUACAAAACAAAUUUCAAAUUUCAUUUUUGACCAAACAAAAACAUCUCAAAAUCAUGGCUCAAACUUUAAAACGAUCCCUAAAUUUUAAAAUGUUCUAAUUGAAUCUUUAAAAAUAAAGUAUACCUAAAACACGUUUUAAAUAUGCUCUACAUCAAACAUAAACUAACAUUUAACACCCAGAUAGACAGCGAGAGUGACAAAAAAAACUUGGUUAAUACGAUACUAAUAUUUUUAGGACCCAAUUAAACCAUUUUAAAAUUUAAUGACUAAUUUAAAAUUCAUUCUAUAGAUUAAGAAAAUCUGUUGUAAUCAACCCAAAUAAUAACGACAACAUUACGUACCUUAGCAUCAAAAUCUUGGUUUUGGUAAAAGCAGCUCUUCCCAUGCAAUGCAGCUCUUUAAAACCCCUCAAAAAAGGACUCCAAUGCAAUUAUCUAGGACUUGAUCGUUUGUUUUAUAGAAUGCUUUCGAAAGUGCAGUUUUUGUACUUCAAAUUGUAUCCGAACGAAUGAAUAAAGGUUUGACGAAUAAGUUCGAUUGUGAAGGUCCUAAGAAAAUUAAAAUUUUAGAAUAUUAUAUUUCGGAAUUUCGUCUUUUUAUUUUAAGAAAUUUAAUCAUUUUAUAUUUUUCGGAUUUAAGUAUACAGGUCCAAUUAUUAUUAAAAGUGAUUCGACUAAAAAAUUAAAAAAUAUUUCGAAUUUCAAGUUAAUUGAAUUGAGUUAUUCGAUUUUUUCGAGUCAACUAGAAUAAGUAAUUCGAGUUCGAGUCGAGUUGAAUUUUACAAUUCGAAUAACAGAUUAAUGUGAAUACCCAUUUGAUCCCUGUCAAUUUUAAAAAUAGGUAAAUUUAUCUCUCAACAAAGUUUACAAAAAAAAAUCAAAAUAAUUUUCAAAAAAUUUUAAAUAUAAUUUUUAAAAUUCAGAAUAUUUAUAAAAUAUCAAAAUUGAUAUUUAAAAAAUUUAUAAAAAUUCUAAAUAUAAAAAAAAACUUAAUUUUUUUAAAAAUAAUAAUUUUUGGAAAAUUUAACUAUUUAAGUUUAUCAUACUAAAAUAUCUUCUUCUUUUUUUUCUUAUUAUGCUUUGAAAGAAUUUUCAAAUUUAUAUGUUCUAACAUUGAAUUAGUUAUAUUGUAACAAUAUUUUAAUUUGACAUUUUUUUUUAAUUUCACUUGAUUUGGAAAAUAUUCAAAUCGAGUUAGAAUGAUAAAAUGGGACUCGUCAACUCGAUUAACUCAAAAGUUUUUCACUUGAUUCGAUCGAAUGCUCACCCCAAACUAAUAUCAUAAAAAUUCUUUUGUUAAAUUUAGAUUCGUUACAAUAUUAAUUUUUUUAUUUUAUGACUAUCAAAUUUGUUUUUUUUUUCUUUUCAUUUCAAGGUGUCACAGUAAUGAAUUUAAUAGAAUAAUUUUAACAAUAUUAACAAUUAAUUUUUUUUUGACAUUUAAAAAAUAAAGAAACUAAAUUCUUAAAAAAAAAACCAAAUUUACGAAGAAUCAAAUUGGAAAAUAAAGAGAUAAAUAUAUAUUUUUUGGUGCUUAUGUUUAUCUUUGAUUUUAAUUUUGCUAUUUAUAUAUUUUUUUUUCAAAUUGGUACUUAUGUUGUUUUUAAAUUACACAAAAUGGUAUCAAAUUUAUUAUCUGACGUAUGGAAUGAUGAUGUCAUAAUAACAUUUGGGAAAUUAUAAAAAUUUAUAAAAAAUAUGUAUUAAAAAUUCAAAAUAUAAAAAAUUAUAAUGUUUGAUACCAAAUAAAAAUAACAUAAAAAUCAAUUUUUUUUAUAUAUUUUCAUAUUUUUAUAAAAAGAGUAUCAUUUUUUUAUGAAAAUAUAAAAUCAAUUAUUUUUAAUAAAAAUAACUUUUUUAUAAAUUUUAUUAAAAAUUUAUAUCAAAAUCAUGAAAAUAUUCAUCAAGUCACAAAAAAGAAUUACAAUUUCUUACCCGAAAUAUAUAUUUUAUAUUUCCAGAAUUUUUUAGAUUUUUUUUAUUUAAUUUUUGGAUAAUGACAUCAUCAUCAUCACAUAUUAAAUAAUUAUUGGACCACAAAAUAAAAGUUAGCAUCAUUUAACUUAGGUACCAUUCUGUGUAACAGUAGUCAAACGUGGGUACCAAUUUGAAAUAAAAAAAAGGACCAAAAUGAAUAUUAAGAUCAAAUACAUGUACUAAAGAAUAUAUUUAUUUUUUCAUUAAAAUAGUUUAAAUUAAAUUAUUAUUUUUUGAGAGAAGUCAAAAAUGAAAAUUUUCAUUUAAAAAGAAUUAAAAUAUUAAAUUUUAGGAGGGUCCAAGGAACCAAAGCCUCUAACUGCCGUUAGUUUGCCAUUGUCAUUAUCAAUUUACUCGCCCUGAGAGGAGUUUAGCGGCGAAGCUUGGGGAUAAUUUGUGGCCUUGACCCUCUUAAAUUUAAAUAAUUCAAUUUAAUCUCUUUCAGCCCAUUUAUUAAGGAGAGGUCAACUUCUUUAAGAAAAGUUUAUGAAGUAUGAUUCAUUAAAAGCUAGCGAACAUCCCAAUAAAUCGAUAUUAUUUCAAUUGAAUUUUUUAUCUCCCAAUUUUACGAAGAAUUAAUGGGUUCACAAAAUGAAUAUAUCUUAUUAGAUGUCUAAUAAGACAAAUCACAUACAUCGCAUCGCACUUGAUAUCAUAUACGACAUCGAAAAGCUAGUAUAUUACCACUUAAACUAAACACCUAUUUAUUAUGAAAUCUGUUGCUUCGAAUAAACGAGAAAUAACAAAUUUCUCCCGAAAAAAUCGGCCCCUAUCGUUUCCUCUUUUUCAAAAGUAAAUCUUAAUUCGCUCAGGUGAUUUGGAAUAUUGAGAUUUUUUUAGUGAAAAGAGUGGCAAGUUGGUGUGACACCUAAGGUCACUUUAACAUAUAGCUCUAAAUUCUAGAGACACUGUGAAUCGUUACUUCAGCAUAUGCCUCUUGUUUUUUUUCCUUCUUUCACCAGAAUAUAUUCAAUGCAAAGAACUUAUCUCUUACACAUUUGAUUGUUGGUUAAAUUCGAGUUUUAGUCCCUAUAUUAUACUUCCUUCCUGUUAUCGAUGUUAUACUUUAGUCUAAAUCCAUAAUAUCAACACAACUCCAAAUUCAUUAUAUCAUUUAAACAUUAAAAUUAUCUAUUUAACUUGUGAUUUAAAUAAAAAUUAAAUUAUGGUAUAACCACGAUGUGGAUAAAAAAUAAAAUUAUGUGUUAAUUAUAUUUGUAAAAGAAUGAAAUUUUAAUUAAAACGAUAAAGUUUAAAUUUACUUUAUAAUGCAAUGAUAUUUGAGUCAUUAUCCAAUUGAAUUAGUGCCUAAUAACUCGUAACACCAAUUUAAUUAAUUAUGCACAACAUUAAGUUUUAUUAUCUUUCUUUCUUUAAUAGAUUACAGUCAGUUACUUAAAAAAAUUACAGUUAAUUAUUAUUUUAUAAGGUAAACUAUCAAAAUAGUCAUUUUUGUUUCUCUCAUAUUACAUUUUGGUCACUUAUGUUUGAAAUGUUAAGUUUUAGUCACUUACAUUUAUCGUAUUAUAACAUUUUAGUCACCGAGCGUUUAUUGCCGUUAGCAAUAUAACAAUAAAGCUGAUGUGACACGUUAAAUCAUCAAUUCAAACGAAAAUUUUAAGUUAAAUUAUACAAUUGGUCCCUAUUUAUUUUGAGCAAUUUAUUUUUUUAUAUUCUUUGAAUUUUCUUUUUUCUUUUUUAUUUUCCGUUCUCUUCUGUUUCUCCCUCUAUUUUCUUCCAUUCCCUGUCUUUUUUAACGUAAAUUUUCUAUGUUUUUCAUUUCUUAAAAUUUAUCUAUUUUUUUUCUUUUAUGUACUUCUACGUUAAAAGAUAUGGAGAAGUGGUGAAAAUAGAGGGAGAAGUAG